This 1670-nucleotide long non-coding RNA is filed under the name Lingula anatina. RNAcentral describes it as "uncharacterized LOC112041610". The record is from RNAcentral. Lineage: Eukaryota; Metazoa; Brachiopoda; Lingulata; Lingulida; Lingulidae.
GAUUGACGAUCUAGACGCCAUAAAGGCGCACAAUAUAUAACCACACUGUGGCGGGCAGUCCAUAGCUUGUCACGGUGCCACAGGACUCACGCGAUGAAUCACGGCUUACAUUACAAUCAUCACCAUGAUCGUGUAAUCGCGUGUUCAGCUCGGCAGGAUCCCAAUGCCUUGUCCCCCGAGAGUACCAAGGAUAAUAAUAAAUUAUAGGAACCAUCACCAUCCAAAUGACAACAGCAACUCCACGGAUGGUAACAUGAACGCAGAUCAGCGCCUAGCAAAUCUAAAUGGAAGAAACAAUGCAAAUGCGGAAUGGACUGUUGUAGGUGUUACUACACGCGAGCAAUCGUCACAACAUCAACACAUUCGAGAGUCGUCCUUAGGAAGAAGCGCGACACCACUAAAUAAAUAAAAAAAUCUUUGCAUCCUUCCCAGUCAGAGAGAAUGCCACAUUCCCAACAUCGUGAUUAAAGUCUUAAGCAGAAGUCUAUCGACGAUGGUGUGGAUAUUCUGUUUGACCUGGAAGGGUUUCACGCCCGUCACAGUCAUGUUCACUCUGUCCACAUCCACAAAUAAGGGGACACUGGGGGGCGCCUGUACGUCUACUGGUGGACUUUACCAUCGACACGUCCACAAAUUCUGUAAAAAGACAGCAUGAUGGGUUUCUGCGUGAUUCACGUUGGUCCACGCAGAAAACCGAUUCCCCGUUGUGUCACUGGAAUCAGGAGUGCUGCAAAAUGGAAGGAUGUCGGGAAUAGUGAUAGUUACCGAGUUUCUUUUCAUCUGUAUCAAAGUCUGCACACUACACUUGGCCUGAGGGCGUUCUGGUUCUUGAUUUUGGUAUGAAGAGGAUUGUUGUCAGUCAGUUCGGAUAUGAUACGCAUGUAUACCGCCCAAACGAUUUGUAUUUUAUGAGAACAAAGAGGAAUUAAAUACAUUUGUAGUUACAGAUACCUUUAAAGCGUGAAUGCUUUUUUUUUCGAUAAGAGUUUGAAAUGGGUCAAUAAUUACAUGGACAAUGAGCGUGUUACGUUUUAGACAGUAGGUGUAUGGAAUCCAGUGAAAGUGAUGUAAGCAACACUGUAGCUCUUAUCAAUAUAUCAUUUCCUACGUUUGGGAUUGUUGAGUUCACUGGUUGCUUCUCACACUGCUUUUAUUUUAGUUGCAUAUUAAGUCUUAGAGCAUAUUGACAACAACGCUAUUAGAAUCGAAAAAAUGACAAAAGCAUUGAACAACUUUUAUUUGAAAAUGGAGUAGAAUUGGACGUGACAGUCGUCUACUUAAAUCUAAAGAACAUUAUCCGUUGUAUAACAGAUAGGGUUGAUUAGCUAAUUAUCAACCUAUAGUUAAUACUUGUAAAUUUGUGCUGACUAGUAUUGUUUGCCAUCUACGUAUUAAUAUGUAUUUUAAAAAGAUCAUAUGACUAAAUUAUAAUGAAAAAAAUUCAAGAUUUCCAAUUUAGUUGGUUUGAAAUUACUUCUUCUCUUUCCUUUUUCUGAUGGAAAGUACGUACUUAACAUCUCUAAUUGUGAUCAGUUUAUUAUCAUAUUUAUCAGAAAAUAUUUUAAACACUGAGAUGUUACUUACGGUUGUAUUUUGUUUUGCAAAUGUGUUGCUCUUGACAUUUUCAAUGGGCCAUUUGUACUGAUUCAAUAAAGAGAAUAUUUUUGUUG